CUUGAACCCAGAAGGAGGCUGGCCAUGCUGAUGGCUGUGGCUUCCAGAAACUUUGCAACAACUGGAAUUCUUCACCACGGCGGAGGAGAAGCUGAGCUAAUCAUUCACCUCCCACAUCCAGAAUGUCUCACUGUUGGCUGCAAAUAGAUAACCCCUAGCAACCAGUUAUUCUCCUACAUUCUUCACUCCGGUAGAGUUUGGCGAGUUUCUUCUCUUCUUCAGCACUGCCUCCAUGACACACUGAUGGUGAUGGAGUUCAGAGGGGACACAAGUAUUACCUCCCUAUAUUAGAAGCUGAAGAAACUGAGGUUGGGAGAGAGACUUUGCCUGGGGCUGCUCUGAGGGAAAGGAAAUCACUCACGCCUUGGAGGACAAUCCCUUCUGGCUGGCAUGGCACAACACGGUGACAAAGGAAGAGUGGUGAUUAGCCAGAUAGAUCCUCCUGUGCGGCCGAGGGACAACCUGGUCCGGGCUCUGCCUUGGGACUCGGCAGGCAGGUCACCUUGGGAGCCCUGCCUCACUUAAAUCUAAAUCACGCCCAAGUCCGGACGUCACCCUCGUGAUGUUACUGGUUCUCUUCCAGAAAGAAGGACUGACUAAAACAACACAAAGCCUCACCCUCUCUAUCAGACCAUCGAUCAGCCAGCAUUUGUUAAGUGGGUUAGGCUAGUGCUAGGGACUGGGGAUUAGAAAUCAAAAAAACAAAAAUAAAAACCAGUCCUUGCCCUCAGGGAGCUUACAUC
Molecule: non-coding RNA, 743 nt
Organism: Phascolarctos cinereus (koala)
Lineage: Eukaryota; Metazoa; Chordata; Mammalia; Diprotodontia; Phascolarctidae
Source: RefSeq, a predicted model, not a curated record